CGCGUUGAUUUAAUUAUGCGGCACACCUAUAUACGUUCCGCUGGCUUCGGCCAGCUAUGGUGAUAAACGGACGAUGAAAUAAGCCCAUUGGACCCGGGGGCGGUACCCGGCGCCUCCACCACAAUGCAGCAGAACAACGCUGCCUUGUGGCGGGGGCGAAAUAGGAUCGACAAGGGUGUAAAGAUCGAACUUUUGCCCGGCAUUGUACCACCGUUAUCGGGCUAACUCAGUAGUUGCAAACGACAACUAUGCGGAAGCACGUAUCGCUGCUUAAUGCAGUGCUAUAGCUUCAAAUCAAGUCCUAGGGGUUCGCACUUCUAGGCGGGGUUCGGAGGUACCUGGCAACAGAAACCUCCACU
This 359-nucleotide transfer-messenger RNA is filed under the name Phyllobacterium ifriqiyense. It matches the Rfam family "Alphaproteobacteria transfer-messenger RNA". Rfam says of the family: Bacterial tmRNA, also known as 10Sa RNA or SsrA, is named for its dual tRNA and mRNA-like properties. Its role is to liberate the mRNA from a stalled ribosome. Lineage: Bacteria; Pseudomonadati; Pseudomonadota; Alphaproteobacteria; Hyphomicrobiales; Phyllobacteriaceae. The record is from RNAcentral. RNAcentral also lists the same sequence under 5 other names.